This 77-nucleotide transfer RNA is filed under the name TM7 phylum sp. oral taxon 351. RNAcentral's name for it is "tRNA-Lys". It matches the Rfam family "tRNA". Rfam says of the family: Transfer RNA (tRNA) molecules are approximately 80 nucleotides in length. Their secondary structure includes four short double-helical elements and three loops (D, anti-codon, and T loops). Lineage: Bacteria; Candidatus Saccharimonadota. The record is from RNAcentral. RNAcentral also lists the same sequence under 4 other names.
GGGCCGGUAGCUCAGCAGGUUAGAGCACGAGCCUCUUAAGCUUGGUGUCGUGGGUUCGAGUCCCACCCGGCUCACCA